GUGCCAGCAGCCGCGGUAAUACGGAGGGGGCAAGCGUUGUUCGGAAUCACUGGGUGUAAAGGGUGCGUAGGCGGUCCGUUAAGUCUGAUGUGAAAGCCCUGGGCUCAACUCAGGAAUUGCAUUGGAAACUGGCGGGCUGGAGUACGGGAGAGGGAAGCGGAAUUCCUGGUGUAGCGGUGAAAUGCGUAGAUACCAGGAGGAACACCGGUGGCGAAGGCGGUUUCCUGGCCCAGUACUGACGCUGAGGCACGAAAGCGUGGGGAGCGAACGGGAUUAGAUACCCCCGUAGUCC
This 292-nucleotide ribosomal RNA is filed under the name uncultured bacterium. RNAcentral's name for it is "partial 16S ribosomal RNA". It matches the Rfam family "Bacterial small subunit ribosomal RNA", at positions 505 to 796 of the family's 1533-position model. The record is from RNAcentral.